UAGGGAAUCUUCCGCAAUGGACGAAAGUCUGACGGAGCAACGCCGCGUGAGUGAUGAAGGUUUUCGGAUCGUAAAACUCUGUUGUUAGGGAAGAACAAGUGGGGUAGUAACUGACCCAACCUUGACGGUACCUAACCAGAAAGCCACGGCUAACUACGUGCCAGCAGCCGCGGUAAUACGUAGGUGGCAAGCGUUGUCCGGAAUUAUUGGGAGUAAAGCGCGCGCAGGCGGUUUUUUAAGUCUGAUGUGAAAGCCCACGGCUUAACCGUGGAUGGUCAUUGGAAACUGGGGGACUUGAGUACAGAAGAGGAGAGUGGGAUUGCCCGUGUAGCGGUGAAAUUCGUAGAGAUGUGGAGGAACACCAGUGGCGAAGGCGACUCUCUGGUCUGGAACUGACACUGAGGAGCGAAAGGGUGGGUGGCGAACAGG
This 429-nucleotide ribosomal RNA is filed under the name bacterium. RNAcentral describes it as "partial 16S ribosomal RNA". It matches the Rfam family "Bacterial small subunit ribosomal RNA", at positions 355 to 776 of the family's 1533-position model. The record is from RNAcentral.